RNAcentral lists this long non-coding RNA (1050 nucleotides) under Homo sapiens (human). Its description in RNAcentral is "novel transcript, antisense to RORA". Lineage: Eukaryota; Metazoa; Chordata; Mammalia; Primates; Hominidae. The record is from RNAcentral.
CAUCUGCUGAAAGAAGUGGCUCAGGCCCUCUCCAUGACAACUGCCGACGCAGAAUCCACAGAGCUCUGGACAAUGGGACAAACCAUAUUUCUAUGAACAAAGCCAAGGAAUCUGAUGGACAAGAGAAUCCAGAAUCUCUGCAAUGGGCAGAAGAGAGGACCAGACUUCAUGGUUGAUCUCCCCACAGACCAUACCAACAGGGCAAAGCCCUUCUACUGUCAUUGGAGUAUAUUGACCCAUCCCUGACAGAAAGUCUGUGUAAGCCCGAGGAGGAGGAACAUGCCGCAAACCUGCUGCAGAGCAUUAACAAGAACAGAAUUAAAAAGGAUCACUUCUGGGACUCAUCACACAACUUGGAAAUCAUGUUCAAUAAAAGAAAAGAUAAUUUGGGGCCACACUACCUGAAAUGAACAUCUGACACUCAGUCACUGGUCUGGAUUUAGAAAACUGCUUUGAUCCCCGGAGGGAAGAUUGUUAAUGAGUAUUUUAAAGGACAAGAUUGGCGAAGCAUGAUAGAGUGGAAAAGGGUACUGAUUUUGAAGGGUCCCAGUCUUGCUUCCACUUCUGUAAGCAAGUAGAACUGACUUUGAACAAGACACAUUACACUGCCCUGAGAAAACGUCCUCAUCUCUAACAUGGGAGGUGAAGUUAACCCUCUAGUCCAUCCAACAAUCAAAUCUAGGCCUUAAUGACUAUGAAAACAUGGGAAAAAAUUUAAAACAAGAGCAGGUAAUGCUUGCACCUUUUCGCUACCUGAAAGGAAGGUCAGACAACCUUAGUAUAAAAGGUAACUUUUCUUACUUGCAUGCUAACAAUCAAUGCAUAAUUUACAUAGCAAUGCAUACACUUUAUAUAGUUCAAGAGAUCAUCGUUGACUGCCUGAACUUGAUAUGCUUCAUCCUUGUCAUGUCCUCCUCACUAAAUACUAACUACCCAAAGUGAUCAAACCCCAAAUGUAAAAAUAAUCAUCUGAUAAAUCACAGACAACAAGGAGGUGAAAAAAAGAACUCAGUCAAACAUUUUUGAGUUCAUAAAAAAAUUGAAUAGCAU